UACAGAGGGGGCAAGCGUUGUUCGGAAUUAUUGGGCGUAAAGGGCGCGUAGGCGGCCACCGCAAGUCGGUUGUGAAAUCUCUGGGCUUAACCCAGAAAGGUCAACCGAUACUGCGGGGCUAGAGUGCAGAAGGGGCAACUGGAAUUCUCGGUGUAGCGGUGAAAUGCGUAGAUAUCGAGAGGAACACCUGCGGCGAAGGCGGGUUGCUGGGCUGACACUGACGCUGAAGCGCGAAAGCUAGGGGAGCGAACGGG
Molecule: ribosomal RNA, 254 nt
Filed under: uncultured bacterium
Lineage: Bacteria
Description: partial 16S ribosomal RNA
Rfam family: Bacterial small subunit ribosomal RNA
Source: RNAcentral